Molecule: ribosomal RNA, 436 nt
Filed under: uncultured bacterium
Lineage: Bacteria
Description: bacterial SSU rRNA
Rfam family: Bacterial small subunit ribosomal RNA
Source: RNAcentral
GCAUAACGCGAAGAACCUUACCAGGACUUGACAUCCUCUGCAUUACUCGUAACUGAGGAAACCCUUCGGGGCAGAGAGACAGGUGGUGCAUGGUUGUCGUCAGCUCGUGUCGUGAGAUGUUGGGUUAAGUCCCGCAACGAGCGCAACCCUUAUCAUUAGUUGCUAACAGUAAGAUGAGCACUCUAAUGAGACUGCCGAGGAUAACUCGGAGGAAGGUGGGGAUGACGUCAAAUCAUCAUGCCCCUUAUGUUCUGGGCUACACACGUGCUACAAUGGGUAGAACAACGGGAAGCAAGCUAGUGAUAGCAAGCAAAUACCCUAAAAACUACUCUCAGUUCGGAUUGUAGGCUGCAACUCGCCUACAUGAAGUUGGAGUUGCUAGUAAUCGCGAAUCAGAAUGUCGCGGUGAAUACGUUCCCGGGUCUUGUACACACCG